This 484-nucleotide ribosomal RNA is filed under the name uncultured bacterium. Its description in RNAcentral is "partial 16S ribosomal RNA". It matches the Rfam family "Bacterial small subunit ribosomal RNA", at positions 30 to 507 of the family's 1533-position model. The record is from RNAcentral.
AGUGAACGCUGGCGGCAGGCCUAACACAUGCCAGUCGAGCGGCAGCGCGGGGGCAACCCUGGCGGCGAGCGGCGGACGGGUGAGGAAUUCGUCGGAAUCUGCCUUUUUGUGGGGGAUAACGAAGGGAAACUUACGCUAAUACCGCAUACGUCCUACGGGAGAAAGUGGGGGACCGCAAGGCCUCACGCAGAAAGAUGAGCCGACGACCGAUUAGCUAGUUGGUGGGGUAAAGGCCCACCAAGGCGACGAUCGGUAGCUGGUCUGAGAGGAUGAUCAGCCACACUGGGACUGAGACACGGCCCAGACUCCGACAGGAGGCCACAGUGGGGAAUAUUGGACGAGGGGCGCAAGGCUGAUCCAGCCAUGCCGGGUAUGUGAAGAAGGCCUUAGGGUUGGAAAGCACUUAUGUCCGGAAAGAAGUCCCAGGAGCUAAUACCUUCGGGGGAUGACGGUACCGGAAGAAUAAGCACCGGCUAACUUCGUG